Acanthosepion pharaonis is the source of this 99-nucleotide non-coding RNA. NCBI's taxonomy places the organism in Eukaryota, Metazoa, Mollusca, Cephalopoda, Sepiida, Sepiidae. The record is from the annotation of a GenBank genome assembly.
GUUGAAACAUCACUCCCCGUUCGAUCACCGAAGUUAAACAACGUCGAGCCUGGUCAGUACAUAGAUAGGUGACCGCUUCAGAAUAUCAGGCGUUGUAAG